Molecule: ribosomal RNA, 1395 nt
Filed under: Microbacterium mangrovi
Lineage: Bacteria; Bacillati; Actinomycetota; Actinomycetes; Micrococcales; Microbacteriaceae
Description: bacterial SSU rRNA
Rfam family: Bacterial small subunit ribosomal RNA
Source: RNAcentral
ACCAUGCAGUCGAACGAUGAAGCCCAGCUUGCUGGGUGGAUUAGUGGCGAACGGGUGAGUAACACGUGAGCAACCUGCCCCUGACUCUGGGAUAAGCGCUGGAAACGGCGUCUAAUACUGGAUAUGAGCUCCUGCCGCAUGGUGGGGGUUGGAAAGAUUUUUUGGUUGGGGAUGGGCUCGCGGCCUAUCAGCUUGUUGGUGAGGUAAUGGCUCACCAAGGCGUCGACGGGUAGCCGGCCUGAGAGGGUGACCGGCCACACUGGGACUGAGACACGGCCCAGACUCCUACGGGAGGCAGCAGUGGGGAAUAUUGCACAAUGGGCGGAAGCCUGAUGCAGCAACGCCGCGUGAGGGAUGACGGCCUUCGGGUUGUAAACCUCUUUUAGCAGGGAAGAAGCGAGAGUGACGGUACCUGCAGAAAAAGCACCGGCUAACUACGUGCCAGCAGCCGCGGUAAUACGUAGGGUGCAAGCGUUAUCCGGAAUUAUUGGGCGUAAAGAGCUCGUAGGCGGUUUGUCGCGUCUGCUGUGAAAUCCCGAGGCUCAACCUCGGGUCUGCAGUGGGUACGGGCAGACUAGAGUGCGGUAGGGGAGAUUGGAAUUCCUGGUGUAGCGGUGGAAUGCGCAGAUAUCAGGAGGAACACCGAUGGCGAAGGCAGAUCUCUGGGCCGUAACUGACGCUGAGGAGCGAAAGGGUGGGGAGCAAACAGGCUUAGAUACCCUGGUAGUCCACCCCGUAAACGUUGGGAACUAGUUGUGGGGUCCAUUCCACGGAUUCCGUGACGAAGCUAACGCAUUAAGUUCCCCGCCUGGGGAGUACGGCCGCAAGGCUAAAACUCAAAGGAAUUGACGGGGACCCGCACAAGCGGCGGAGCAUGCGGAUUAAUUCGAUGCAACGCGAAGAACCUUACCAAGGCUUGACAUAUAGAGGAAACGGCCAGAGAUGGUCGCCCCGCAAGGUCUCUAUACAGGUGGUGCAUGGUUGUCGUCAGCUCGUGUCGUGAGAUGUUGGGUUAAGUCCCGCAACGAGCGCAACCCUCGUUCUAUGUUGCCAGCACGUAAUGGUGGGAACUCAUGGGAUACUGCCGGGGUCAACUCGGAGGAAGGUGGGGAUGACGUCAAAUCAUCAUGCCCCUUAUGUCUUGGGCUUCACGCAUGCUACAAUGGCCGGUACAAAGGGCUGCGAUACCGUAAGGUGGAGCGAAUCCCAAAAAGCCGGUCCCAGUUCGGAUUGAGGUCUGCAACUCGACCUCAUGAAGUCGGAGUCGCUAGUAAUCGCAGAUCAGCAACGCUGCGGUGAAUACGUUCCCGGGUCUUGUACACACCGCCCGUCAAGUCAUGAAAGUCGGUAACACCUGAAGCCGGUGGCCUAACCCUUGUGGAGGAGCCGUCGAAG